This 29-nucleotide non-coding RNA is filed under the name Rattus norvegicus (Norway rat). The record is from RNAcentral. Lineage: Eukaryota; Metazoa; Chordata; Mammalia; Rodentia; Muridae.
UGGGAGGAAAGUUACACUAUACUCGUUCA